RNAcentral lists this ribosomal RNA (773 nucleotides) under uncultured Neocallimastigales. RNAcentral's name for it is "partial large subunit ribosomal RNA". It matches the Rfam family "Eukaryotic large subunit ribosomal RNA", at positions 22 to 616 of the family's 3401-position model. Lineage: Eukaryota; Fungi; Neocallimastigomycota; Neocallimastigomycetes; Neocallimastigales. The record is from RNAcentral.
CGCAUCUGUGCAUGCAGCAUAUCAAUAACGGAGGAAAAGAAACUAACAAGGAUUCCCCUAGUAACGGCGAGUGAAGCGGGAAGAGCUCAAAUUUGAAAUCUUAAAGGGUUUCCCUUUACGAAUUGUAGUUUAAAGAAGUGUUUUCUGUUGAGGUUUUGGUAAAAGUUCUUUGGAAUAGGACAUCAUAGAGGGUGAGAAUCCCGUAUUUGACCUUUACUUUCAACUUUGUGAUACACUUUCAAAGAGUCGGAUUGUUUGGGAAUGCAGUCCAAAAUGGGUGGUAAAUUUCAUCUAAAGCUAAAUAUUGGCGAGAGACCGAUAACGAACAAGUACCGUGAGGGAAAGAUGAAAAGAACUUUGAAAAGAGAGUUAAACAGUACGUGAAAUUGUCAAAAGGGAAGCGUUUGACACCAGUGUUGUUUUUCUGAAAAUCAAUUAAAGAACUGUUUAUGCUAAGUUGUUUAGACUUUAUCAGCUAACUGUUUAGUUUUGAGCUUUUCUUUAAUGCACUUUUCAGUUAACAAGUCAACAUCAAUUUCUUUUGCUGUAAAAAAGCUUGAGGAAGGUGGCUUGAGAUUCGUCUUAAGUGUUUAUAGCCUCUUGCCUAUGCAGUCGGAGAGAUUGAGGUCUGCAGCGUAGAUCCUUCGGGGCUAAAUACAUUUGUGCUAAGUUAUAACAUUUUAUAGACAACUUGUUGACUAUGAUUUGUCUUGUAGCUUACUCGCUUAUGUUAUUUUACCUACGCUUAGGAUGUUGAGCGCAUGUCUCUCUCU